This is a long non-coding RNA of Ostrea edulis (European flat oyster), 512 nucleotides long. RefSeq lists it as uncharacterized. The record is from RefSeq and is a predicted model, not a curated record. The transcript has 2 exons. Lineage: Eukaryota; Metazoa; Mollusca; Bivalvia; Ostreida; Ostreidae.
CCAUACUUUACUGCCAAAUGUUAACAAGAGAAAAGUUUCGUUCCCUGUACUGUUACCGGAAUUCUGAUUUCUAAAGAUGAACUCGAAAGCCUUGCUUAUCCUGCUGUGUCUAUUCUCGCUGAUGAUUGCAGAAUAUUCUGUCCAGGGCAUAAAUCGUUGCAGAACUCGUAUUGGGUGCAGAUCAUGCAGAAUACGAUGCAAGAUCAGGAAAUAUCGGACUGGAUCCUGCAAAUACACACGUUCUUGCCCAAGAAGAAUGAGAUAUAAGUGUAGAUGUUUCGGGAAACGUGGUGGUUGAUGUAAAAAAAGAAAAAAAAGAAAUGUAUCAAUCCAUGCAAUAAACCGAAAAUAAUGCAGAUAUCACAAUAGUUAUUUAUACUUAAUGACUGAACGACAUGUAAAUGUUCUACUCAUUAACAUUCAACAUCCCCGUUUAAAGUGAGCAUUUUGCAAAUUCUUUGUCGUUGUAAUAAUUUAAUUUGCAAAUCCAAAAUAUCACCAAUUGGAAUGCU